AGACCCGAAACCCGGUGAUCUAGCCAUGGGCAGGUUGAAGGUUGGGUAACACUAACUGGAGGACCGAACCGACUAAUGUUGAAAAAUUAGCGGAUGACCUGUGGCUGGGGGUGAAAGGCCAAUCAAACCGGGAGAUAGCUGGUUCUCCCCGAAAGCUAUUUAGGUAGCGCCUCGUGAAUUCAUCUCCGGGGGUAGAGCACUGUUUCGGCUAGGGGGCCAUCCCGGCUUACCAACCCGAUGCAAACUGCGAAUACCGGAGAAUGUUAUCACGGGAGACACACGGCGGGUGCUAACGUCCGUCGUGAAGAGGGAAACAACCCAGACCGCCAGCUAAGGUCCCAAAGUCAUGGUUAAGUGGGAAACGAUGUGGGAAGGCCCAGACAGCCAGGAUGUUGGCUUAGAAGCAGCCAUCAUUUAAAGAAAGCGUAAUAGCUCACUGGUCGAGUCGGCCUGCGCGGAAGAUGUAACGGGGCUAAACCAUGCACCGAAGCUGCGGCAGCGACGCUGAUGCGUUGUUGGGUAGGGGAGCGUUCUGUAAGCCUGUGAAGGUGGCCUGUGAGGGUUGCUGGAGGUAUCAGAAGUGCGAAUGCUGACAUAAGUAACGAUAAAGCGGGUGAAAAGCCCGCUCGCCGGAAGACCAAGGGUUCCUGUCCAACGUUAAUCGGGGCAGGGUGAGUCGACCCCUAAGGCGAGGCCGAAAGGCGUAGUCGAUGGGAAACGGGUUAAUAUUCCCGUACUUGGUGUUACUGCGAAGGGGGGACGGAGAAGGCUAUGUUGGCCGGGCGACGGUUGUCCCGGUUUAAGCGUGUAGGUGUGUGUUCCAGGUAAAUCCGGUUCACUUUAACACUGAGGCGUGA
This 857-nucleotide ribosomal RNA is filed under the name Salmonella enterica. Its description in RNAcentral is "partial 23S ribosomal RNA". It matches the Rfam family "Bacterial large subunit ribosomal RNA", at positions 711 to 1566 of the family's 2925-position model. Lineage: Bacteria; Pseudomonadati; Pseudomonadota; Gammaproteobacteria; Enterobacterales; Enterobacteriaceae. RNAcentral also lists the same sequence under 2 other names. The record is from RNAcentral.